Long non-coding RNA from Phragmites australis (common reed), 1575 nucleotides. RefSeq lists it as uncharacterized. The transcript is spliced from 3 exons. The record is from RefSeq and is a predicted model, not a curated record. Lineage: Eukaryota; Viridiplantae; Streptophyta; Magnoliopsida; Poales; Poaceae.
UGUCCAGGAGAUGGGAUUUAGUGGACUCUUAGAAAUACCUUCGAUUUGCAAGGUCAACCUCAACCUCAAGAUGAGCAUCUGAUCGCUUAGUAGAUUGGAUCCCACUACAUUUGAGGUGGUACUAUCUUAGAACUUGUGCAUUGCUAUCCAUGAGAAGGAUGUUGGUACUGUAUUUGGAAUUCCCUAUGGAGAGAUGGACAUGCUUAGCGCUAACAUUACACCCAAGGCGAUAGAAUAUCUUUGGUAUACCCUCGGUUUGGUUUGUCCAAAUGCUAGGAGUUUCAAGUGUGUUGAUUUUGUGUUUGAAGAGCACCUUGACGACAAAUCCAAUAGGCACGAGAUCGAUAGGUUCAAGAUAGCCUUUGUGAUAUAUGUGAUGGGUCAUCUAUUAGCUCCAUGUGCAAAGUGGGAUCAUGGAAGUAUUGAUUAUUGGGGGGCACUUAAGAAUGCAGAUCUGAUAGAUAGAUUCAAGUGGUGUUGACAUGUCUAUGGCCAUGUUCUGGAUGCAGCUUAGAAAGUUCGUGAAUCUGUUAGUCGACACCGUCCUGUGAGCUAUAUUACUAGCUGCCAUCUGUUUCUGCAGAUUAUGUUCUUAGACAAUAUAGACAUGCGGUUGCUGAACAAACCACACAACAUCCUGCAACGCAUCAGGGAUUUUGAUGCAGCGACAAUUCAGAAGAUGAUUCUCAUGAUCUUAGAAUGAAAUGGUAAUGGCUUCCGAUGCUCUUUAAGGCUGGCCACCUGGCACCUAUGUACAUGACGCACACAUUGCAAUUAGUUUACAUUCCUCCUGUCCCGAGAGAGACCAUUGAUGUAGCUCUUUCAGUUGAGAUUGGUGUACCAACUAUCAAAACCAAGACAUUUGCAUUCCAGUAUGCUGCUGACUUUGGUUCAUACCUAAGGAUUAAAUACCCAGGACUGGUCAAUAUUUCUCACUAUCUCUCUUUGUUCCAAUAACUGUAUGCUCAGUACUUAUCAAAAUGGCUUGCAUUUUUUUAGCACUCCUGCUAUGCAAUGGAUCAGCUAAAAUUGCACAAUGCAAAGCUGGUAAAGGAGAUUUCUCUGAUGCAUUCAGCAAUGAUGAAGCACAAUGCAUUAUUUGCUGACUGGCUUGUUGAUCAAAUGGGACCAAUGGUGUUGCAAGCGAUGCACAAGAAGGUUGGAGGUAGCGAUCUUGUUGAACAUCCCAACCCGGUCCACUCGGUACCAGUAAACGAAGGUGCGUAGCUAUGAUUACAAGAGAAGUGUUAGUACAUGUACACCUCCAUAGGAACAUUGAUAUUUACUCUGUUGUGCCUUUGAAUGUAGUUGUACAUUCUAAACUAGUGCAAUGGGCAUGUUCGUUAUCCAACUUUUCAAACAAUGGAGGUGUACAUUUAUUUGCCUUGGCUGCCUUGACAUGAUUUUUGUGUUCAAUGCUACUUGCAUUGAUUAUGCUUUGGCCUCUUUUGCAGAAAGCUCCAUUGGUAAUAGUGUCACCACUUUCAAGCGUUUCAGAUGGGGAUUAGACUCUAUCGAAUCUAAGAAAUUGAAGUGUAAUCUUGGUAUGUUGAAGUUCAUAACUUCUUUUUUUUU